This 425-nucleotide long non-coding RNA is filed under the name Brassica rapa (field mustard). RNAcentral describes it as "long non-coding RNA (BRAP_LNC004471)". The record is from RNAcentral. Lineage: Eukaryota; Viridiplantae; Streptophyta; Magnoliopsida; Brassicales; Brassicaceae.
UUGUUUCCGUAGAUAUGUUUGGUCUGAACCAAAUUAAAGGAAUAGAAGACCUUCCUUAGAUAGUAUCGGUUUGGUCAAUCUUAGUAAACCAAGUGAAUCUUCUGGUUGGAUUGGUUUUCAGGCUUGGUUCUUCUUUCUCUGGUCUUCUAAAAGUUUCUCCUUGCCAUGUAGCUUUAGUCGAGGCCCAUUCAUGAUUGGAUUUGUAUGGACCAAAAUAUGGCUGAUUUGGCCAUUGGAUGCUGAGAAGAUUGUCUGACUUUUAAAAUCCAUAUCUUUGUGGUCCACGAAGUUUUCUGGUGAUUUUAAUUCCAGAUGGUGUAAGGAUGAGUUGUAUGUCCUUAAGAAUUGAUUUCAUGUAAAAAAUCUUUGUGGCUUGUAAGCUAUUCUCAUUUGAGUGAACAUUGGUCGCGAUAGUUAUGUUGUGG